RNAcentral lists this non-coding RNA (23 nucleotides) under Arabidopsis thaliana (thale cress). The record is from RNAcentral. Lineage: Eukaryota; Viridiplantae; Streptophyta; Magnoliopsida; Brassicales; Brassicaceae.
GGAGCUCAACAGUAAGAAGUGCA